RNAcentral lists this ribosomal RNA (301 nucleotides) under uncultured bacterium. Its description in RNAcentral is "partial 16S ribosomal RNA". It matches the Rfam family "Bacterial small subunit ribosomal RNA", at positions 509 to 808 of the family's 1533-position model. The record is from RNAcentral.
CAGAGCCACGGGAAUACGUAGGGUGCAAGCGUUAAUCGGAAUUACUGGGCGUAAAGCGUGCGCAGGCGGUUAUAUAAGACAGAUGUGAAAUCCCCGGGCUCAACCUGGGAACUGCAUUUGUGACUGUAUAGCUAGAGUACGGCAGAGGGGGAUGGAAUUCCGCGUGUAGCAGUGAAAUGCGUAGAUAUGCGGAGGAACACCGAUGGCGAAGGCAAUCCCCUGGGCCUGUACUGACGCUCAUGCACGAAAGCGUGGGGAGCAAACAGGAUUAGAUACCCCGGUAGUCCCUGUCUCUUAUACA